Molecule: ribosomal RNA, 860 nt
Filed under: uncultured Boletaceae
Lineage: Eukaryota; Fungi; Basidiomycota; Agaricomycetes; Boletales; Boletaceae
Description: eukaryotic LSU rRNA
Rfam family: 5.8S ribosomal RNA (bases 252-406)
Source: RNAcentral
CUUGGUCAUUUAGAGGAAGUAAAAGCCGUAACAAGGUUUCCGUAGGUGAACCUGCGGAAGGAUCAUUAUAGAUAAGAGGGGGGGAAGAUCGAGACUGUCGCUGGCUUGAUUGCAUGUGCACGUCUUUGUCUUCUUCCUUUGUUCGUUCACACCCACACCUGUGCACCUGUUGUAGGUUGCUCGCAAGAGCGAUCUAUGUCUUUCUACAUCCCUUUGUCGUAUGGCUAUAGAAUGUGAUAUAAAUAUAAUACAACUUUCAGCAACGGAUCUCUUGGCUCUCGCAUCGAUGAAGAACGCAGCGAAUUGCGAUAAGUAAUGUGAAUUGCAGAUUUUCAGUGAAUCAUCGAAUCUUUGAACGCACCUUGCGCUCCUUGGUAUUCCGAGGAGCAUGCCUGUUUGAGUGUCAUUUGAAUUCUCAACCAUUGUCUCGCUCGAGUGAUGGAUUGGAUUGUGGAGGUUGCUGGCGGCGACAAGCUGGUCGGCUCUUCUGAAAAGCAUUAGCAAAAGGACCAAGCAAGUCUUGGACGUGCACGGCCUCCGACGUGAUAAUGAUCGUUGAUGGGCUGGAGCGUCUGACAUGCAUGAAUGGAUUCCAUGCUUCUAAUCAUUCUGUGUGCUUAGCUACUAGUUGGUCUACGACGAACGCGGCACCACUUUUGACACCUUGACCUCAAAUCAGGUAGGACUACCCGCUGAACUUAAGCAUAUCAAUAAGCGGAGGAAAAGAAACUAACAAGGAUUCCCCUAGUAACUGCGAGUGAAGCGGGAAGAGCUCAAAUUUUGAAUCUGGCGGUCUUUCGGCCGUCCGAGUUGUAAUCUAGAGAAGCGUUUUCCGCGCUGGACCGUGUACAAGUCUCCUG